ACUAGAAAAAUGACUUUUUGCGUCACUUCUUUUGCGACGGUCAAACAAGCGGUCACAAAAAAAGAAAAAAAAGAAAAAGAAAAUAUCAGCAACAGCCAUAACUUAUAAGGGAUGCAAAUAACACGGCUUUCUUUAAUUAAUUUUCCCCAAUUUCAAUUUCAUAACUUUCUCUCUCUCUAUGAUGGAAGCUCUCAAUGUGCCUUAGCUCUCUCUUGCACUCACCCAUGGUCGUCACAGGUGAUUUCAUUGCAAAUUAGGUGAUUUCAUCGGUGUCUUGUGAGAAUACAAGCGUAUCAAUGGCAUCACUGACGGAACUUUCUUUCCACUGGACUGGUUUCAUUAGUGCGAUGAUUUCAAAUAUUGCAUUCACUUACAGGAGUAUCUAUUCAAAGAAGCAAUGGUAAUGUCUUUCACAACAUGUAAUUAUUCUUAGUAUUCUAAAUUGUGGUUUUAAUUUUAUGGAAUGGAAGAGUGUGGAAGAACACAAUUAAGGUCCCCUGCUUGACCUUUAAUAAUGCUUGAUUAUCUCUUAUGUUGCUUUCGACUUUUCUAAAUGCAAGAAGUAAUGGUGUUGAACACUUGACACGCGUAAGACUUAAAAGAGUACAGGAUUUGUGUCCAAUGUGCCUAGUUGGACAUGCACCCAGUAUCUCUUGCUUAGUCUAUUAGUGAUCUUGGAAAUGCAGCAUUAUCUGGCCAAUUUUUGGUCCCUUAGCUUGGCCAGCUCAAGAAUUUACAGUACCUGUACAAGUCAUCCAAAGAACAAGGGAGGAACAGAGCCAUUAUUUCAUCUUACUAGCGCACAUUUUUAUCGAGCCUAAGUACAACUUAUCAUUGGUUGAUGCUGGAGCCUCAGAAGGUGAUCUUCAUACAUUGUCAAUGAUCCAGUUAUGGGAUAGCUGCAAUUGUCAAGGACCAAGGAAGUUUGCUGUCCUACACCUUC
Camellia sinensis is the source of this 943-nucleotide non-coding RNA. The record is from RefSeq and is a predicted model, not a curated record. NCBI's taxonomy places the organism in Eukaryota, Viridiplantae, Streptophyta, Magnoliopsida, Ericales, Theaceae.